UUGCAUGAUUUUAUGAGGUAAGCCAAGCAAGUAAAGGAGAAAUAAGAGACUCAUAUAGGCUCGAUUAUAAAUUGAUUUAACUGUUUUCGUUACCGAGAUCUCUUUCCUAUUUUUUUAGAGAAUUUUUUGAUAAUCAGCUCUCGUGCUGCAAACAGUUAAAUCUAAACCUUAUCGCGCUUCUUUCCUCGUGGGCAGGAAGGAAUGGAAUGCAACUUUCCUCAUAAACUGCAUCCUCAAUACAUUUGAGAUAAGAACAAAUUAUAGGAUGGAGUGGAAGUUGCAUCUAGGUGCAUUACAUGAGGUUGUUGCUUAUUUAUUGGCCCAUAUAUAUCAUUGCAAAGAAAAUUGCAAUUGCAAUGAGUUUUCAAUCUAUAUAAGCUUUAUAUAUGAUUUGCAUUCAAU
This 402-nucleotide long non-coding RNA is filed under the name Phoenix dactylifera (date palm). Its description in RNAcentral is "long non-coding RNA (PDAC_LNC015513)". Lineage: Eukaryota; Viridiplantae; Streptophyta; Magnoliopsida; Arecales; Arecaceae. The record is from RNAcentral.